ACUCACAUUAUCAGAAUGAAGUCAUUGUUUGUUUUCCUAAUAUCCCUGUCAUGUUUAUCAGGUGUUCGCUGUGAUGUACAACUUGCCCAGUCAGAGUCAGUGGUGAUAAAGCCGGGAGGGUCUCACAAACUGUCCUGCACAGCCUCUGGCUUCACAUUCAUUGGUCACUGGAUGCACUGGGUUAGACAGGCUCCUGGGAAACGAUUACAGUGGUUAUCUGAUAUUAACUAUGAUGGGAGUACAACACGCUAUGCUGAUUCAGUUAAGGGAAGAUUCACCAUCUCCAGAGACAAUAAUAACAACAAGUUAUAUCUGCAAAUAAACAAUCUACAAACUGAAGACACUGCUGUGUAUUACUGUACUAGAUACGGGACCUCCUUUGACUACUGGGGACAAGGAACCAUGGUCACCGUCACUUCAGCUACUUCAAACCCCCCAUCCCUUUUUCCACUCAUUUCUUGUGGGGAGUCUAUGGACCCAGUCACCAUUGGUUGUUUGGCCAAAGAUUUUCUCCCUGAAACUAUUAGCUUCACCUGGGGAGAUAAGAACAAUGCCAGUUACUCCACUGGCCUCAAGAGCUAUAAACCUGUGAUGCAAUCUUCCGGCUCCUACUCAGCCAGCUCCCAAGUCAACGUUGCCUCUGCAGUCUGGGACAAAAUGGAACCAUUUUACUGCAAUGCCAAACACCUGGAUACCAUUAAGAGUGUGGAGCUCAAGAAAGAUAUAGAACCUAAAUUUGAAAAACCAGUUGUGUCUAUUCACCCUCCAUCCAAGGAUGCACUUGCCUUGAAUGAAAGCCUCUUUAUUGUAUGUCUUGCAACAAAUUUUACUCCCAAACAUAUAGUAAUUAAAUGGCUAAAGAAUGGGAUCCAGACAACAGAAGGUGUCAGAGUUGAAGAACCUGUUGAAGACAAAAAGGAAGUAUAUGAGACAACAUCCUAUCUCUCCAUAACUAGAAAGGAAUGGGAUUUGGAUACUUUGUACUCAUGUGUAGUUGAACAUGCAGAAUCGGGUUCCUUACAAGAGAAGAAUAUGAGCAAAUCACUAAUGUGCGACACCCCAAUAACACCCACUAGUAUCCAAGUAAUCACUAUUCCACCAUCAUUAGAGAGCAUUUUUGAGAAAAAAUCUGCCACACUUACCUGCCUGGUCAGUAAUAUGGCUAACUCUGAGGAUUUGAGAUCAAUAUCCUGGUAUAAAAAAUCUGGUACUCAAGAGAUACCAUUGAAAACAGAACUGGGAGAUGCAAUCUAUAGUGAUAACCGCACCUAUUCUGUAAAAGGAACCACCACUGUCUGCGCUGAUGAAUGGAAUAACGACAAGUUUGUCUGCAAAGUGGAACACACAGAGCUGGCUUCAAUGAAGGAGGUCUUUCUCUUUAAAGAAAAAGGAGAAUACAAUACACCAUCUGUAUAUGUUUUCCCACCACCUCUUGAGGAAUUGUCUAAGAGAGAAACUGCCACCUUGACAUGCUUGGUUAAAGGGUUCAGCCCCUCUGAAAUAUUUGUAAAAUGGCUUCACAAAAAUGAGGCGGUUCCAAAACAAAAUUACAUAAAUACCAGCAUCAAUGACGAGCUUUUACCCAAAGGACAGAAGAGUGGAAAGUUCUUUCUGUACAGUCUUCACACCAUAGACAUUAAAGACUGGGAUGCUGGUGAUAGUUUUUCCUGUGUGGUUGGCCAUGAGUCAUUGCCACUUCAGCUGACCCAAAGGAGCAUUGACAAGUCUUCUGGUAAACCUACUAACGUGAAUGUGUCCCUCGUCUUGUCUGAUACCUGUUAGUGAUCAUCUCCAAAGACCCUAUAACUCCAUCUCAUGUUCUUCCCUAUAUGGUGUAAUGGACAAGGCGGAGGGAGAAGUGUUGACUUUAUGUUUGUCUGUCUGUUCUUGUACAUUUUUUGUCUGCAAAAUUAAAAGUAGAAAUAAAAAUCAAUUUAUACAA
This is a non-coding RNA of Xenopus laevis (African clawed frog), 1942 nucleotides long. Lineage: Eukaryota; Metazoa; Chordata; Amphibia; Anura; Pipidae. The record is from the annotation of a RefSeq genome assembly.